Molecule: microRNA, 20 nt
Filed under: Gallus gallus (chicken)
Lineage: Eukaryota; Metazoa; Chordata; Aves; Galliformes; Phasianidae
Description: microRNA Ros-gga
Source: RNAcentral
CAGGUGAAUGCUGCCUGUCA